ACAAGCGGAGGAACAUGUGGUUUAAUUCGAUGAUACGCGAGGAACCUUACCUGGGCUUAAAUGGGAGUGACAGCUGUCGAAAGAUGGUUUUCUUCGGACACUCUUCAAGGUGCUGCAUGGUUGUCGUCAGCUCGUGCCGUGAGGUGUCGGGUUAAGUCCCAUAACGAGCGCAACCCUUACCGUUAGUUACCAUCAGGUUAAGCUGGGGACUCUAGCGGGACUGCCACCGUAAGGUGAGAGGAAGGUGGGGAUGACGUCAAAUCAGCACGGCCCUUAUGUCCAGGGCUACACACGUGUUACAAUGGCCAGUACAAAGGGCAGCUACCGGGUGACCGGAUGCUAAUCUCUAAAGCUGGUCUCAGUUCGGAUCGAAGUCUGCAACCCGACUUCGUGAAGCUGGAUUCGCUAGUAAUCGCGCAUCAGCCAUGGCGCGGUGAAUACGUUCCCGGGCCUU
RNAcentral lists this ribosomal RNA (454 nucleotides) under uncultured Sphingobacteriales bacterium. RNAcentral's name for it is "bacterial SSU rRNA". It matches the Rfam family "Bacterial small subunit ribosomal RNA", at positions 925 to 1382 of the family's 1533-position model. Lineage: Bacteria; Pseudomonadati; Bacteroidota; Sphingobacteriia; Sphingobacteriales. The record is from RNAcentral.